Molecule: ribosomal RNA, 253 nt
Filed under: uncultured bacterium
Lineage: Bacteria
Description: partial 16S ribosomal RNA
Rfam family: Bacterial small subunit ribosomal RNA
Source: RNAcentral
UACGUAGGUGGCAAGCGUUGUCCGGAGUUACUGGGGGUAAAGGGCGUGUAGGCGGGUUUGCAAGUCAGAUGUGAAAUUCCGGGGCUCAACCCCGGCGCUGCAUCUGAAACUGUGAAUCUUGAGUGCUGGAGAGGAAAGCGGAAUUCCUAGUGUAGCGGUGAAAUGCGUAGAUAUUAGGAGGAACACCAGUGGCGAAGGCGGCUUUCUGGACAGUAACCGACGCUGAGGCGCGAAAGCGUGGGGAGCAAACAUG